GAUGAACGCUGGCGGCGUGCCUAAUACAUGCAAGUCGAGCGAACGGACGAGAAGCUUGCUUCUCUGAUGUUAGCGGCGGACGGGUGAGUAACACGUGGAUAACCUACCUAUCAGACUGGGAUAACUUCGGGAAACCGGCGCUAAUACCGGAUAAUCUUUUGCACCGCAUGGUUCAAAAGUGAAAGACGGUCUUUCUGUCACUUAUAGAUGCAUCCGGGCUUCAUUAGCUAGUUGGUAAGGUAACGGCUUACCAAGGCAACGAUGCAUAGCCGACCUGAGAGGGUGGUCGGCCACAUGGGAACGGAGACGGGGUCCAGACGCCUACGGGAGGCAGCAGUAGGGAAUGUUACGCAAUGGGCGAAAGCAUGACGGAGCAACGGCGCGUGAGUGAUGAAGGUCUUCGGAUCGUAAAAAUCUGUUAUUAGGGAAGAACAUAUGUGGAAGUAACUGUGCACAUAGUGACGGUACCUAAUCAGAAAGCCACGGCUAACUACGUG
Molecule: ribosomal RNA, 497 nt
Filed under: uncultured bacterium
Lineage: Bacteria
Description: partial 16S ribosomal RNA
Rfam family: Bacterial small subunit ribosomal RNA
Source: RNAcentral